RNAcentral lists this ribosomal RNA (360 nucleotides) under Triticum aestivum (bread wheat). Its description in RNAcentral is "partial small subunit ribosomal RNA". The record is from RNAcentral. Lineage: Eukaryota; Viridiplantae; Streptophyta; Magnoliopsida; Poales; Poaceae.
AUGGCCAGCCGGCAAAGAGGCAUGUUUGCUUCUCAGGGAUUAGCACUAGGAGGAGUUGCCUGUGGACUUGAUGAAGCAAGCAGCUGUGGUGUUGUUCAGUGGGACAAUAUUCCCAAGGAAAAUGAAGUCCAACAAGGUGAACAUGAGGAGAUCACUCCUCCUUUGGACAACAAUAUUUCAGCUUUGAAGGAACAGCUGGGUGUAAUGGAUGCUGAGAACAAAGAACUGAAGCAAAAGGUUGACCAGUUGAGGAGCAUUCAGGUUGCCCAAGGUAAUGUGAUUAGGAAUCUGAAGUUUGCUCAUUUGAAGGAAAAGGAAAAGUUGAGCACUGAGAGGAUGAAUUUAGUUUCAGAUUGCUGA